Molecule: ribosomal RNA, 468 nt
Filed under: uncultured bacterium
Lineage: Bacteria
Description: partial 16S ribosomal RNA
Rfam family: Bacterial small subunit ribosomal RNA
Source: RNAcentral
GACGGACGCUGGCGGCGUGCUUAACACAUGCAAGUCGAACGGAAAGGCCCUGCUUUUGUGGGGUGCUCGAGUGGCGAACGGGUGAGUAACACGUGAGUAACCUGCCCUUGACUUUGGGAUAACUUCAGGAAACUGGGGCUAAUACCGGAUAGGAGCUCCUGCUGCAUGGUGGGGGUUGGAAAGUUUCGGCGGUUGGGGAUGGACUCGCGGCUUAUCAGCUUGUUGGUGGGGUAGUGGCUUACCAAGGCUUUGACGGGUAGCCGGCCUGAGAGGGUGACCGGCCACAUUGGGACUGAGAUACGGCCCAGACUCCUACGGGAGGCAGCAGUGGGGAAUAUUGCACAAUGGGCGGAGGCCUGAUGCAGCAACGCCGCGUGCGGGAUGACGGCCUUCGGGUUGUAAACCGCUUUCGCCUGUGACGAAGCGUGAGUGACGGUAAUGGGUAAAGAAGCACCGGCUAACUACGUG